UACGGAGGGUGCAAGCGUUAAUCGGAAUUACUGGGCGUAAAGCGCGCGUAGGUGGUUUGGUAAGCGAGAUGUGAAAGCCCCGGGCUUAACCUGGGAACGGCAUUUUGAACUGCCAGACUAGAGUGUGGUAGAGGGUAGUGGAAUUUCCUGUGUAGCGGUGAAAUGCGUAGAUAUAGGAAGGAACACCAGUGGCGAAGGCGGCUACCUGGACCAACACUGACACUGAGGUGCGACAGCGUGGGGAGCAAACAGGAUUAGAUACCCUGGUAGUCCCU
Molecule: ribosomal RNA, 275 nt
Filed under: uncultured prokaryote
Description: partial 16S ribosomal RNA
Rfam family: Bacterial small subunit ribosomal RNA
Source: RNAcentral